Molecule: ribosomal RNA, 427 nt
Filed under: uncultured bacterium
Lineage: Bacteria
Description: bacterial SSU rRNA
Rfam family: Bacterial small subunit ribosomal RNA
Source: RNAcentral
UGGGGAAUUUUGGACAAUGGGCGCAAGCCUGAUCCAGCCAUGCCGCGUGCAGGAUGAAGGCCUUCGGGUUGUAAACUGCUUUUGUACGGAACGAAAAGCCUCCUUCUAAUAAAGGGGGGUGAUGACGGUACCGUAAGAAUAAGCACCGGCUAACUACGUGCCAGCAGCCGCGGUAAUACGUAGGGUGCAAGCGUUAAUCGGAAUUACUGGGCGUAAAGCGUGCGCAGGCGGUUUUGCAAGACAGUGGUGAAAUCCCCGGGCUCAACCUGGGAACUGCCAUUGUGACUGCAAGGCUAGAGUGCGGCAGAGGGGGAUGGAAUUCCGCGUGUAGCAGUGAAAUGCGUAGAUAUGCGGAGGAACACCGAUGGCGAAGGCAAUCCCCUGGGCCUGCACUGACGCUCAUGCACGAAAGCGUGGGGAGCAAACA